CCUACGGGGGGCAGCAGUAGGGAAUCUUCCACAAUGGGCGAAAGCCUGAUGGAGCAACGCCGCGUGGGUGAAGAAGGUCUUCGGAUCGUAAAACCCUGUUGUUAGAGAAGAAAGUGCGUGCGAGUAACUGUUCACGUUUCGACGGUAUCUAACCAGAAAGCCACGGCUAACUACGUGCCAGCAGCCGCGGUAAUACGUAGGUGGCAAGCGUUAACCGGAUUUACUGGGCGUAAAGGGAACGCAGGCGGUCUUUUAAGUCUGGUGUGAAAGCCUUCGGCUUAACCUGAGGAGUGCAUUGGAAACUGGGAGACUUGAGUGAGGGAGAGGAGAGUGGAAUUCGAGGUGUAGCGGUGAAAUGCGUAGAUAUAUGGAAGAACACCAGUGGCGAAGGCGGCUCUCUGGUCUGUAACUGACGCUGAGGUUCGAAAGCGUGGGUAGCAAACAGGAUUAGAUACCCGAGUAGUC
Molecule: ribosomal RNA, 465 nt
Filed under: uncultured bacterium
Lineage: Bacteria
Description: partial 16S ribosomal RNA
Rfam family: Bacterial small subunit ribosomal RNA
Source: RNAcentral